Molecule: ribosomal RNA, 529 nt
Filed under: uncultured bacterium
Lineage: Bacteria
Description: bacterial SSU rRNA
Rfam family: Bacterial small subunit ribosomal RNA
Source: RNAcentral
AAUAGAUACCCCGGUAGUCCACGCCGUAAACGAUGAGUGCUAAGUGUUAGAGGGUUUCCGCCCUUUAGUGCUGCAGCUAACGCAUUAAGCACUCCGCCUGGGGAGUACGGCCGCAAGGCUGAAACUCAAAGGAAUUGACGGGGGCCCGCACAAGCGGUGGAGCAUGUGGUUUAAUUCGAAGCAACGCGAAGAACCUUACCAGGUCUUGACAUCCUCUGACAACCCUAGAGAUAGGGCGUUCCCCUUCGGGGGACAGAGUGACAGGUGGUGCAUGGUUGUCGUCAGCUCGUGUCGUGAGAUGUUGGGUUAAGUCCCGCAACGAGCGCAACCCUUGACCCUAGUUGCCAGCAUUCAGUUGGGCACUCUAAGGUGACUGCCGGUGACAAACCGGAGGAAGGUGGGGAUGACGUCAAAUCAUCAUGCCCCUUAUGACCUGGGCUACACACGUGCUACAAUGGAUGGUACAAAGGGCUGCGAGACCGCGAGGUUAAGCCAAUCCCAUAAAACCAUUCUCAGUUCGGAUUGCAGG